This 201-nucleotide long non-coding RNA is filed under the name Pongo abelii (Sumatran orangutan). Its description in RNAcentral is "lincRNA". The record is from RNAcentral. Lineage: Eukaryota; Metazoa; Chordata; Mammalia; Primates; Hominidae.
AUAGUGAAGGCAGACCACAGGCUGGCAAAUGGAAAUGCAUGAUGCUUCCUAAAGCCUAGGCUCAGACCUGGCAACUAUCAAUUCCACUUUCCUCAUCUUAUAAAAUUCUGGUUCUCAAUGACACCAGCAUCAUUACUGAUUUGCUUUCUACUCACACACAAAUAGCCUCCAAAUAAGAAUGCCAACACUAUCACCAAAAAG